GAUGAACGCUAGCGGCAGGCUUAACACAUGCAAGUCGAGGGGUAUAACACUUCGGUGUUAGAGACCGGCGCACGGGUGCGUAACGCGUAUGUAAUCUACCUUUUACAGAGGGAUAGCCCAGAGAAAUUUGGAUUAAUACCUCAUGGUAUUAUGGAUAGGCAUCUAUUUAUAAUUAAAGAUUUAUCGGUAAAAGAUGAGCAUGCGUCUCAUUAGCUAGGUGGUAUGGUAACGGCAUACCAAGGCGACGAUGGGUAGGGGUCCUGAGAGGGAGCACACCCACACGGGGAAUGAGACACGGACCAGACUCCUCCGGGAGGCAGCAGUGAGGAAUAUUGUACAAUGGGCGCAAGCCUGAUACAGCCAUGCCGCGUGCAGGAUGACUGCCAUAUGGGUUGUAAACUGAUUUUGUACAGGAAGAAACCCUUCUAAGAGUAGAAGAUUGACGGUACUGUAAGAAUAAGGAUCGGCUAACUCCGUGCCAGCAGCCGCCGUAA
This 494-nucleotide ribosomal RNA is filed under the name uncultured bacterium. RNAcentral describes it as "partial 16S ribosomal RNA". It matches the Rfam family "Bacterial small subunit ribosomal RNA", at positions 28 to 523 of the family's 1533-position model. The record is from RNAcentral.